This is a long non-coding RNA of Labrus bergylta (ballan wrasse), 931 nucleotides long. RefSeq lists it as uncharacterized. The record is from RefSeq and is a predicted model, not a curated record. Lineage: Eukaryota; Metazoa; Chordata; Actinopteri; Labriformes; Labridae.
GUUCAGCCUUUGGACCCGAUUCAAACCGGUGAAUAUGACGGACGAGGACGUAAUGGCAAAAAAGAGAAAAUAUCACGGUGAGGCAGAACGAUGUGACGCAGUAGCACAAGUGAAAUCACAAGCAUCCUGAAAACGUCUUCUGAAGAAGACCAUGCUUGUAAAAAAGGAAACCUGAAGAACCAGCAAAGGGAAAAAAGCAGGACCAAAGACAUCUUGCUAACCAGCACCCUCUGGCUUCAACACAUGGACACUGAGACUUCCUGCUUUUGUGAACAUACACAGACGCUGACAUCACUUAAAACAUGAACAUCACACGGAUGAAUAGUGAUUUGUUAGAUGAUGAAUGACUCCCACAAAUCUAUGUCGAGCUAUUGCAGAAUUGAAGAACUCUUUUUUUUUAAAUGUCUGAACAUGAAUACGGUCUCCAGCUGUAUGUCCUUUGUUUUAUGUCAGACUAAAAUUGUUGAAAUAUUUUAUAUCUGCAUUAUUUCUUUUUUGUUUGAAACCUGUGUCCUUGUUUCAUAUCAUCCUAUUUUUUGUAUUUUCAAAUCUGAGGUCCUAAUCAGUAAAGCCAUUUAAAUAACUUAGCUAACCUGCUUUAUGAAACAAGAGGCCCCAAUUGUUUUUGUGACAAUGAUGUUCAGUAGAAACAUGCUUUGUGUAUGCUGUAUGUGUGAGUGUGGGGGGGGGGGGGGUAAAAGUACUUUCACCAUUAAGUGCUUGCAUGACAAAUAUGUGUAAUGUGAAAGACUAGUGUGACCUCGGCCUUGUUUGGUGUGAAUGCUCGUCAUUGUGUUCUCUGGAGAUGAACGACCCUCGUGGACUUUGUCACAAAGAUUAAAAAGGCUCAUGAAUGUUAAUGAGUGAUCAUGUCACACACUAUGUAAUGAGGACAACAACAAAAUAAAAACUUGAAAUGUGUGUGUAAUUA